Mus musculus (house mouse) is the source of this 216-nucleotide long non-coding RNA. RefSeq annotates it as predicted gene, 21847. The record is from RefSeq and is a predicted model, not a curated record. The transcript has 3 exons. Lineage: Eukaryota; Metazoa; Chordata; Mammalia; Rodentia; Muridae.
CAGUGGAAUUCUGUAUGUUGAAUUAUCUCUGCAUUUCUUGGAUGAAGCCUGCUUGAUUGUGAUCUCUGCGUGCUCGUAACUGAAAUCCAAUCAUCAGGAAUCCCAGUGCAGCAGGAUGUUAGAGAAAAUAAACAAGUUCAAUUCCACCAAACGUUGGUGAAUGAUGGCCCAAUCAGCCUGUACUUCCUUGCUCUCCUGCUGCAAUGUCAUCGACUU